This is a long non-coding RNA of Dermochelys coriacea (leatherback sea turtle), 500 nucleotides long. RefSeq lists it as uncharacterized. The transcript is spliced from 2 exons. NCBI's taxonomy places the organism in Eukaryota, Metazoa, Chordata, Testudines, Dermochelyidae. The record is from RefSeq and is a predicted model, not a curated record.
GCCAAAGGAGGCACCGCUACAUAAAAGCUAUUCUGUAUGCUAGUUUGUGUGGGGGCUAUUUGAAAUAAAUUGAGUUCUGAUUUGGCACAUUCUACAGAGCCACAAUGAAUGAAAGCCAUUUAAAAAUAUAUCCUUUUCCUAAGGGCAACGCUCUGCUUCCUUUUCUUAGAGCGCCUUUUAGGUUUAUGGUGGAGGCAUCUUCUGGCAGCUUUUUUUUUUUUUUUUUUUUUUAAAGGGCCUAGGAGGCCGCUCCUAAACUCAAACUCCCACCCAAAGCCACACCCCUCACCCUCUCCUGUACCCCAACUCUCUGCCCCAGCUUGGAGCCCCCUCCUGCACCCAAACUCCCUCCCAGAAAGAAACUAAUAAAACAGCUAUUCUAAGGCAAGAAAUAGGCUAUUUUGAAUUAACUUAACUAUAUAUUCUACACGUUUUAAGACUAAAACGUAACCAAAGAAAAGCUUUAUGUUAAUUAAAAGGCAAAUUUAGUACAGCGUUAA